This 1645-nucleotide long non-coding RNA is filed under the name Homo sapiens (human). Its description in RNAcentral is "non-protein coding lnc-TNFRSF19-7:1". Lineage: Eukaryota; Metazoa; Chordata; Mammalia; Primates; Hominidae. The record is from RNAcentral.
AUGACAUUUUGCAAAUCUUUGAUCUUCCUUUGAAAUAAGAAUCACAGCAUUCAAAGAGUUGCAGUUACAAGCUUCUCAGAAGGCUUGUACACUCAGAGUGUGGCUGAUAUCAAGAAUAUAAAUGUAAAAUACAAGAACAAUAAAGUGAAUAUAGGAUUUCAGAAUUCCACGCACACCUAAGAGACAGCAAUGCCAUCACAGCUAAAAUAUCCUUGUGUGUAAUGAUUGAACUCAAUGGAAGAAACAUUUGGAAUGCUGCCCAAACUGUCAGUGUUAUCUUAAGUGUGUGUUUCACUAAAGUCACCAAGAUACAGGCUGCUGCUUUGAAAUUCUUCUAAGGAAACGGGGUGGCAACUCAGGAUCUGAGUAUGAAGGACCUUCCAGCGUAGAUGCCACAGGGAGGAGAAGCUUCAAACGCAAGGCUGGAACAGGCUUUGGAAGUGCUGAUACUAGAAGAAGAAGAAGAAAUAAAAGAACAGUAGCAGAGAUAUUUAAAUUUCCAGCCAUUACUUGAUUAAUGAUCCUCAAAGUUCUGCAGAAAAAUGACUAAAGCAGCUGGAGAGCUGUAAGGAGAGGUAUGAAGUGAGGCUGAUGCCCAGGAACCUAAUCUCCAGAUUGGUGGAAAUUUAUGGGCUUUUUCUCUUUUGUGUUGAUCCUCUCGUGCGGAGAUUUCUGCAGCCUAAUCGAAGAGAAGUAAUCAGAUCCUUCUGUCUGCUCCACAAGUAGGUGGCCAACAAUUCUGUAAGGGAGAGGAGCCCUGGGGUGUCAUGACAGUAGGAAUCAAUGCUAUAAAAAAAGUAACAACUUGAUACCCUCACAUUGUGACUAAAGAACCCCCCAGUUUUGGCCCAGUGAGGAAUACACAAACAUAAAGAUGUGAUCAUUUCUGCUAGGAUUUUGAUUCUGUUCUUCUGAGUGCCAAAUUCUCAGAUACUACAGAAGAGAUUCUGAGACAAGCCUACAGAGGCCUCAAAAGAAGCAAGAGUGCAAGAAUAUGGAUAACUAAAUGCUACAGAUUACAUUUCAGGAGGGGGAAUUCUGAAGUCAAGAAAGAGAAUGUUGUGAACAGUAAAGAAGGGUGGGGAAGUACCAGUCCUGAGGAGGAGGGAGAUGCCCAUGGUGGGUGGGUUGACGUGUGUCACUCUUCUGUGAAAAACAGCAGGGACUUUCCAAGGAGGUGCCCAGCAUGCCUGUGGAGGAGGAGGGAGCCAAAUCUGCUGCCCUCAGCACCAGUUGCCUUCUAAGCCAGGAAGACUUCCAGAAAAUCUACAUGGCCCAACUGUAUAAUGAACCCAGGGCUGCCCUGGGAAAGCCACAAACUGAAAGAUACUGAAAUAAACAGCAUUGAUGGGCCAAGAGACAAGUUACUGUCAGUUGAGGAUAUUGAACGCUUUAAAAAAAAAAAAAACACUCAUCUUCAGGAAGACUAGCCGCUGCAGUGGCUGGAAAGACUGACUGAAAAGAAUAUGUUAGAAAGAAAACCAAUAUGAGUGCAGUUUCCAGUGCCCCAAAUAAAGAGAAGAAAACUAACUUUAUAUGAUAAUGUAUUAUAGCCAGAAUGUCCAGUCAAAAAAUAGAUGUUCCUUCAGAAAAAAAGCAACUGGCACCAUGAGAUGUACUUUUGGAAAAAAGGGAAAUAGAAUAA